Hibiscus syriacus is the source of this 362-nucleotide long non-coding RNA. RefSeq lists it as uncharacterized. Lineage: Eukaryota; Viridiplantae; Streptophyta; Magnoliopsida; Malvales; Malvaceae. The record is from RefSeq and is a predicted model, not a curated record. The transcript has 2 exons.
CUCUUAAAACUUCCCAUCCAAGAAAGAAAUAAUCCUUCCGUUUCUCCAAACUUCUUUGGAUCAGAAUUCUUUCGUCAACCAUGAAGAAAUCAGGGCUCUUAGCUGCCUCAGUCGUCGCCGCCUCUGCUUCUUCCACUUUCACUUGUAACUCCAAUUUUCAGUUUUCCAGUGAGGACAAGAAAGAAGAUGUGAAAUCUUCUGCAAACAAGAAAUCAACUUCAACUGAGAAAUUUGCACCCAGGUUUGAUGGGUUGAGGUUCAUUGAGACUUUGGUCACCGCUCAUCGGUGAACAAAACAAAGCUUGGUAACCACAAGCUUCAAAUUUUUUCUUAAAACUUGAUAAAGAAUUUUAACUAUUUUU